AGUAGAACCGGUCGCCAUGUCCGCGGGGAGCGCGACGCAUCCUGGAGCUGGCGGGCGCCGCAGCAAAUGGGACCAACCAGCUCCAGCCCCACUUCUCUUCCUCCCGCCAGCGGCCCCAGGUGGGGAGGUCACCAGCAGUGGGGGAAGUCCUGGGGGCACCACAGCUGCUCCUUCAGGAGCCUUGGAUGCUGCUGCUGCUGUGGCUGCCAAGAUCAAUGCCAUGCUCAUGGCAAAAGGGAAGCUGAAACCAACUCAGAAUGCUUCUGAGAAGCUUCAGGCUCCUGGCAAAGGCCUAACUAGCAAUAAGAGCAAGGAUGACCUGGUGGUAGCUGAAGUAGAAAUUAAUGAUGUGCCUCUCACAUGUAGGAACUUGCUGACUCGAGGACAGACUCAAGACGAGCCGACUUAGUGGGGCUGCAGUAUCAACUCGAGGGAGGUUCAUGACAACUGAGGAAAAAGCCAAAGUGGGACCAGGGGAUCGUCCAUUAUAUCUUCAUGUUCAGGGCCAGACACGGGAAUUAGUGGACAGAGCUGUAAACCGGAUCAAAGAAAUUAUCACCAAUGGAGUGGUAAAAGCUGCCACAGGAACAAGUCCAACUUUUAAUGGUGCAACAGUAACUGUCUAUCACCAGCCAGCACCCAUCGCUCAGUUGUCUCCAGCUGUUAGCCAGAAGCCUCCCUUCCAGUCAGGGGUAUGUUUUGGGGAGGGAUCAUUAAUAGCAUUAUCAUUUCUAUAAAAAUGAUAUGUGCUGGCC
Molecule: long non-coding RNA, 755 nt
Filed under: Pan troglodytes (chimpanzee)
Lineage: Eukaryota; Metazoa; Chordata; Mammalia; Primates; Hominidae
Description: long non-coding RNA NONPTRT001297
Source: RNAcentral